RNAcentral lists this long non-coding RNA (264 nucleotides) under Homo sapiens (human). Its description in RNAcentral is "HSALNT0086717". Lineage: Eukaryota; Metazoa; Chordata; Mammalia; Primates; Hominidae. The record is from RNAcentral.
CCUUAGAACACACCAGGAAGUAGAACAAACAAGUGAAACCUCCUAAUCUGGGAAAGAGCUCAGUGUGAGAAAUGGAGGGGAUUCUGGGAAGGCAAAAAGAAAGCAAACAGUCCAGUUAAGAUACCACUGCAGAGUCCACAUGAUGGAUCAUAAUGGUUUCUAAUGUACUGGACAACAUGGGUCAUUGUGGAGAAGGAGAAAAAUGGACAGGUUGACAACAAGAGGAGAAGGAAACAAAGGAAACUGAGAAGAAGUGAUGACUAA